RNA transcript from Astyanax mexicanus (Mexican tetra), 7153 nucleotides. It is a transcript of the gene named protein tyrosine phosphatase receptor type Ub, with no coding region annotated. Lineage: Eukaryota; Metazoa; Chordata; Actinopteri; Characiformes; Acestrorhamphidae. The transcript is spliced from 31 exons. The record is from RefSeq and is a predicted model, not a curated record.
AAUCCCGGUCUGAACUGUUUACCCUGACGUCAGUCCGCACGGCUCGCAGCUUCUCCCUCACUUCUGUCCUCUCCCAACUCCGCUCCGCCCGGGAUUCCGGGGACCGAUGGACUUGGAGUCCAUAAGCUACCCUAACUACCUGGAGCCACUGACAUGAUCCCCGUCUGUUUUUCCCAGACUGGACUAAACGCGUAACAUGAAUACCUGCGCCAUUCUUCUGCUCCUGGCUGUUCAGAUUCGCGCCGACAGUGUCGAGGGACCAACAGCAGCAGGCUGUACUUUUGAUGAAGACUCCGACCCCAGCCUGUGUGAGUUCAGCCAGGGAGAGGAGGAUGAUUUUGAUUGGCAGCUGUUCCGCGCCCACGCCUCGCCUCAUGCCACCUCUGAUCUCCUGCGUGGCUCCUACAUGAUGGUGAACUCUUCUCAGCAUGCUUCAGGCCAGAGAGCACAGCUGCUGCUGCAGACGCUCAGUGAGAAUGACACGCACUGCGUCCAGUUCAGCUACUUCCUGUACAGCCGAGAUGGCCACAGCCCCGGGACGCUGCGGGCAUAUGUGCGGGUGAACGGCGGCCCACUGGGCAUCCCCGUGUGGAACGUCACCGGCUCCCAGGGUAAACAGUGGCACCAGGUGGAGCUGGCCGUCAGCACCUUCUGGCCCAAUGAGUAUCAGGUAUUGCUGGAGGCGACUGUCGACCGUUGGGGCUAUAUAGCUGUGGAUGACAUCCUGGUGCAGAACUAUCCAUGCUAUAAAGCCCCCCACUUCUCUCGCCUGGGGGAUGUGGAAGUCAAUGCUGGACAGAAUGCUACCUUCCAGUGCGUGGCUGCAGGACGGGCGGCCGAGGCGGAGAAGUUUUUACUAGAGCGUCACAGCGGUGAGGUGUACUCAGGUGGCUCGGUCAAGCACCUGGGGCGCAAUCGUUUUGCUGUGUCCUUCCAGCUGGAAGAUGUCCAAAAGCCAGAGCAGGACCUUUACCGCUGUGUCACUCAGUCCACAAGAGGCUCUGGAGUAUCCAACUUUGCUGAACUCAUUGUCAAAGUGCCCCCUUCUCCCAUCGCUCCACCACAGCUGCAGAGAGCAGGUUCCACCUACUUGAUCAUCCAACUCAACACUAACUCCAUUCUGGGUGAUGGCCCCAUCAUCCGCAGAGAAAUCGAAUACCGAGCCAGCCAUGCGCCCUGGUCUGAAAUCAAUGGAGUCAAUAUGGUCACUUAUAAGCUGUGGCACCUGGACCCGGAUACUGAAUAUCACAUCAGUGUGCUGCUUACUCGGCCUGGAGAGGGUGGUACUGGACCCCCUGGACCCCCACUAAUCAGCAGAACUAAGUGUGCUGAGCCUAUGAGAGCACUGCGCGGUCUGAGGGCAGUGGAGGUCCAGGCCCGGCAGCUGACCCUGCAGUGGGAGCCAUUGGCCUUCAAUCUGACUCGUUGCCAUACCUACUCGGUCUCUCUGUGCUAUCGCUACGCCACAGCAGGUGGUGGCGGCGGGCACAACACCACAGUCAGAGAGUGUCUGGCUGUGGAAGGCAACACCUCACGCUUCACCCUCAGAGAUCUCCCCCCCUACCACACCAUCCACGUCCGUCUGGCCCUCGCCAACACUGAGGGCAAAAAAGAGAGCAAAGAGGUCACUUUCCAGACCGAGGAGGAUGUUCCUGGAGGAAUCGCUCCAGAAUCCCUUACCUUCACCCCCCUGGACGACAUGAUCUUUCUCAAAUGGGAGGAACCAGUGGAGCCCAAUGGUCUCAUCACUCAGUAUGAGAUUAGCUACCAGAGCAUUGAGUCAUCUGAUCCUGGCAUCAAUGUACCUGGCCCGCGGCGCACGGUCUCCAAGCUGAAGAAUGAAACGUACCACAUGUUCUCCAAUCUGCACCCCGGCACCACCUACCUCAUCUCUGUACGUGCCCGGACGGCCAAGGGCUUUGGGCAGACAGCCCUCACUGAAAUCACCACCAACAUCUCAGCUCCUACCUUUGACUAUGGAGACAUGCCAUCUCCGCUAAGCGAGACAGAGAGCACAAUCACUGUGCUGCUGCGUCCCGCCCAGGGCCGAGGUGCUCCUGUCAGUACAUACCAGGUGGUGGUGGAAGAGGAGACUGUGAGGAAAGUGAAGAGAGAGUUGGGGAUGCAAGACUGUUUUCCUGUGCCCACCUCUCAUGGGGAGGCACAGGCACGGGGGGCUCCUCAUUACUACACCGCCGAACUUCCACCCAGCAGCUUGCCUCAGGCCACACCAUUCACUGUGGGAGAUAACCACACCUAUAACGGAUACUGGAACAGCCCACUGGACCCCAGGAAGAACUACCUCAUCUACUUUCAGGCCAUGAGCAACUUCCGAGGGGAAACAAGGAUAAACUGCAUCCGUAUUGCCCGUAAAGCGGCCUGUAAGGACCACCGACGGGCUCUCGAGGUGUCCCAGCACUCAGAGGAGAUGGGAUGGAUCCUUGGUGUGUGUGCAGGAGGUCUGGUGGUACUCAUCCUGCUGCUGGGGGCCAUUAUCAUCAUCAUAAAGAAAGGAAGGGACUACUACUCUUACUCUUACUAUCCUAGGAAGCCGGUGAACAUGAAUAAGACUCCCAUUACCUACAGGCAGGAGAAGAGUAAUAUGAUGGGCUCAAUGGAGCGCAGCUUUGCUGACCAGAGCACGCUGCAGGAGGACGAGAGAAUGGCUCUGUCCUUUAUGGAUGCCCACACCUGCAGCACCCGCAGUGAUCCUCGCAGUUCCAUGAAUGAGUCCAGCAGUCUACUUGGUGGCUCGCCUCGGAGACAGUGUGGGCGUAAGGGUUCUCCCUACCACACGGGACAGCUUCAUCCAGCUGUUCGUGUGGCCGAUCUGCUGCAACAUAUCAACCAAAUGAAGACUGCAGAGGGCUAUGGCUUCAAACAGGAGUAUGAGAGCUUCUUUGAAGGCUGGGAUGUCACAAAGAAGAAGGAUAAGACAAAAGGAAGACAAGAUACGUUAAUGGGUUAUGAUCGUCACAGAGUGAAGUUACACCCACUGCUUGGGGAUCCAAACUCCGACUACAUCAAUGCCAAUUAUAUCGAUAUUCGGAUAAACAGGGAAGGUUACCAUCGAUCCAACCACUUCAUCGCCACACAGGGGCCUAAGCAGGAGACAGUGUAUGAUUUCUGGAGGAUGGUGUGGCAGGAGAACUGCUUCAGCAUCGUUAUGAUCACCAAGCUCGUGGAGGUGGGCAGGGUGAAGUGCUGUAAGUACUGGCCUGAUGACACAGAGAUGUACGGAGACAUCAAGAUCAGCCUGCUGAAGACAGAGACCCUGGCAGAGUACACAGUACGCACCUUCUCCUUAGAGAGGAGGGGUUACUCAGCCAAACAUGAGGUCCGGCAGUUCCAUUUCACAUCAUGGCCUGAGCAUGGAGUGCCGUACCACGCCACAGGCCUGCUGGCUUUCAUCCGCAGGGUCAAAACCUCCACUCCCGCUGAUGCUGGACCAGUGGUGGUCCACUGCAGUAUGGGAGCUGGCAGGACGGGCUGCUAUAUCGUGCUGGACGUCAUGUUGGACAUGGCUGAGUGUGAGGGAGUUGUGGACAUCUACAAUUGUGUAAAGACUCUCUGCUCACGCCGUAUCAACAUGAUCCAGACUGAGGAGCAGUACAUAUUUAUUCACGAUGCUAUACUGGAAGCGUGCUUGUGUGGAGAGACGGCUAUACUGGUGAACGAGUUUGCUCUCACCUACAAAGAGAUGCUGAGGGUUGACUCUCAGAGUAAUUCCUCACAGCUUCGAGAAGAGUUUCAGACUCUGAACUCGGUGACCCCUCACCUGGAUGUGGAGGAGUGCAGCAUUGCACUGUUGCCACGAAACCGUGAGAAGAACCGCAGUAUGGAUGUUUUGCCACCGGACCGCGCCCUGGCCUUUCUGGUCACCACUGAGGGCGAGAGCAACAACUACAUCAAUGCUGCGCUGACUGACAGCUUCCACCGACCAGCAGCCUUCAUAGUGACCCCACACCCCCUGCCUGGCACCACCGCAGACUUCUGGAGGCUGGUGUUUGAUUACGGCUGCACCUCCAUAGUCAUGCUCAACCAGCUGAACCAGUCCAACUCAGCCUGGCCAUGUGUGCAGUACUGGCCUGAGCCUGGACUUCAGCAGUAUGGCCCCAUGCAGGUGGAAUUUCUCUCCAUGUCUGCUGAUGAGGAUAUCAUCACUCGACUGUUCCGUGUAAAAAAUGUCACAAGGCUCCAGGAGGGUCAGCUGGUGGUGUGCCAGUUCCAAUUCCUGCGAUGGUCUGCGUAUCGAGAUGUGCCAGACUCAAAGAAGGCUUUCCUCAAUCUCCUGGCCCAUGUGCAGAAGUGGCAAAGAGAAUGUGGCGAGGGACGAACCGUGGUGCACUGCCUGAACGGCGGUGGUCGUAGUGGCAUGUUCUGCGCGUGUACAAUUCUGAUGGAGAUGAUUCAGUACCAGAAUGUGGCUGACAUCUUCUAUGCAGUCAAGACCCUGCGCAAUGCCAAACCCAAUAUGGUGGAGACGCUGGUAAGUACAGAGCCGUGCAAAUUCCUAAAAGUAAGUAAACAUGGCUGUGAAGGUGGGAACUGUUUUUUUUAGUAUGGUUCAGUUGUUGACACCAGCAAGUCAGUAAAAAAUAUUUUCCCCACAAAACUGUCAAUACCAGACUAUAUUGUGAUAUAGUCACCACUGAUCAGGACAGGACACUAAGAGGGUUUUCACACCUACCCUGUUUGGUCUGAACCAAAACACAGUAGUGUUCAAAUUAAUAGCAGUCCAACAUGACUAACCAGAUUACAUCACUGUUUUUGAUAUAAUUAUAUUACCACAACGCAAACAAAUUUACCAGUACAAUAGACUUAGCAUUAAUGAUAUGCAUGCUCUUGAGUCUGUGUAUUUGAAUAAUGAAUCCAUUAAAUAAAUGAUUUAAUUAAAUAGUUGUGUCCAAAAUAAUAGCAGUUUGAAGUUUAAUUCGUAAGGUCAGUCAUUCUGUGAAGAAACAUACUAAUGCGGAUAAAAUUUCUCAAAGAACACAUCAACUGCCCUAAAACGAAAUGGAGAAACUGAUAAAAGUAAAAUUGUUCUUUUGGUGUACAAGGGCCUCAGACAGAUGACUCCCAAACUCAGAUUUCAAUCCACAGUACACUCUUCAGAGAGUGAAGCAUCAAAAUUGAGGGUAUGGAGUGACCAGCCCAAUCCCUGAACCUUAUUAAUAUGACAGAAAAUUUGUGGGGUGACAUCAAAAAUGCUGUUUCUGAGGCAAAACCAAAGAAAUGCAAAUAAAUUGUGGGAUGUAGAUGUGGGCUGGAAGACGUGCCAGAAGUUGGUGGACACUAUGCAACACAGAUCUGAAGCAGUUUUUUUAAAAAAGAACUGCGGUUAUACAUCUAAAUAUUAGGUUGGAGAUUCACAGGAAUGCUAAAUACAUAAAGUACAUAUUUUGAGUUUGUAAAGACAAAUGCAAACACUUUUUUACAGCCCACUGUUCUAUCCUCUGUAAAGUAGUUAAAAUUAUAUACAUGUCUCUGCAUGUUUUCAUUUAGAAAACAGUGUGCAAUGUUUCCAAUGCAUGGAAAUAAAAACUAUAAAUAUAGUUGUGCGCUUGACUGCUUGUGUUUUUAAACACACAGCUAUUAUUUUGAACACAACUGUAAUAAGAAGGAAAGGUGCAAUCUAAAGACAUCUUGGUGGGCGCCGAGUGGUCCAGCGGUCUAAAGCGCUGCCACUAUGAGUGGGAGGUCGCAGGUUCGAACCCCAGCUCAUGCAGCUUUGCCAUCAAACUGCCGGCAUCAGAGGGAGCAAAAUUGGCCCUGCUCCCUCUGGGUGGGUAGAUGGCGCUCUCUCCCCACAUCACUCCUAGGGUGAUGUCUGCAGCACAAGGCGUCUGUGUGCUGAUGUACCGGAGCCGAACCGCUGUGCUUUCCUCCAAGCGCGCUGGCUGCUCGGUAAUGCUGCAUCAGCAGCAGCUCGAAAAGAAGCGGUGGCUGACUUCACAUGUAUCGGAGGAAGCAUGUGUUAGUCUUCACCCUCCUGGUGUGUUGGGGCAUCACUAGUGAUAGGGGGAGUCCUAAUGAGUGGGUUGGAUAAUUGGCUGUGCAAAAAUAGAAAUAAAAUAAUAAAAACAUUCAGGCCAUUUAUCUUUAAUUGUUCUAUAAUUUGCUGUGACUGAUGUGCCAUACAAACUGCGAAAAUGUUGUCUUAUUUUAUUGCAACUCAAAAAAAAAGUUUGGUCAUUUUUGCUGCCAAAAUUAUGAUGCACUAUAUAUUCAAAACUGUUGUAGACACAUCUUUUAUAAUAUUUACAGAAAACAGUUUAGAAUGGGUUAGAGUGACCAUACCUGGGCCCAGUGCCAAACAUUGAUUAGACUACGAUGCUCAAAGAUCCACAGGACUGGGACAGUAGAGUUCUGUCAUCUGGAGUUUGAGACAGGAAUGGAUGGAAUGGUCUUUGUGAUCCAAAACUAUCUAUCCAGCAUCAGAACCUGGCUUCACAAAUUCUUUUGGUCCUGAAUGCAUUUAAAUUUUCAAGCAAUGUUCCAAUGUGGUAUGAAGUCUUUACAGAAGAGUAAAAAAGGGACAUGUUCCCUAUGGAUGCCCUUAAAUUAGAAAUAAUAAAUGAACAGGUGUUUACAAACUUUUGGACAUGAUUUGUUGUAAUUUCACAAUUUUAUCUAUUAGAAAUACAUCUCCUCAAAUCUCAACCUUGAAUCCAGUUUCAAGUCCAGGACUUUGUUCCUGCAGAAAGGGAAAACAGAGCAUUAAAUGUAACUGAUUGAGCUCAUAGUGUUGCACCUUUCAGAAAUUGGGACUGGAAUUGGAAAGUCCAAAUUUGAUGACCUCUGUUUUAGAACAAUGCUCUCCUAUUUUUCUCCUGGAGAGCUACCUUUCUGCAGGUUUCAACUCCCAACCCCAUUCAUACAGUUCCAUUCCUGAUUUGUGAAGCAAACCACAGGGUUCAUACGUUCAUGAAAAACCUGGAAAAGUCAUGGAAUUUGAAAAUAGCAAUUUCCAGUCUUGGAUACGUUUUGGAAAAAUAAAAACACCCAGAAAGUGUUUAGAAGUCAUGGAAAUUUGGUCUACAAAUCUUUGUGUUUCAGUUUAAAUCUAUUUUGAGCUAACAAUUGCGUCAGCUCAAAGUUAAUUCAGUAAUUUAGCAUUUUAUUAGCCUUUAAGCCUUUUUAACAUUUUAUU